UAUGAAGGCCAGGCUGAAGACUCUGCUUGACUAGCUGAGAGGAGGUGCAUGGCCGUCGUCAGUUCGUACUGUGAAGCAUCCUGUUAAGUCAGGCAACGAGCGAGACCCACGCCAACAGUUGCCAGCAUGUCCUCCGGGGAUGAUGGGGACACUGUUGGGACCGCCUCUGCUAAAGAGGAGGAAGGAAUGGGCAACGGUAGGUCAGCAUGCCCCGAAUUAUCCGGGCUACACGCGGGCUACAAUGGUCAGGACAAUGGGUAUCGACACCGAGAGGUGGAGGCAAUCUCCUAAACCUGUCCUUAGUUCGGAUUGUGGGCUGCAACUCGCCCACAUGAAGCUGGAAUCCGUAGUAAUCGCGUUUCAAAAUAGCGCGGUGAAUAUGUCCCUGCUCCUU
Molecule: ribosomal RNA, 394 nt
Filed under: uncultured Methanolinea sp.
Lineage: Archaea; Methanobacteriati; Methanobacteriota; Methanomicrobia; Methanomicrobiales; Methanoregulaceae
Description: bacterial SSU rRNA
Rfam family: Archaeal small subunit ribosomal RNA
Source: RNAcentral